Molecule: ribosomal RNA, 512 nt
Filed under: uncultured bacterium
Lineage: Bacteria
Description: partial 16S ribosomal RNA
Rfam family: Bacterial small subunit ribosomal RNA
Source: RNAcentral
GAUGAACGCUGGCGGCGUGCCUAAUACAUGCAAGUCGAACGAAACUUCUUUAUCACCGAGUGCUUGCACUCACCGAUAAAGAGUUGAGUGGCGAACGGGUGAGUAACACGUGGGCAACCUGCCCAAAAGAGGGGGAUAACACUUGGAAACAGGUGCUAAUACCGCAUAACCAUAGUUACCGCAUGGUAACUAUGUAAAAGGUGGCUAUACUACCGCUUUUGGAUGGGCCCGCGGCGCAUUAGCUAGUUGGUAGGGUAAAGGCUUACCAAGGCAAUGAUGCGUAGCCGAAUUGAGAGGUUGAUCAGCCACAUUGGGACUGAGACACGGCCCAGACUCCUACGGGAGGCAGCAGUAGGGAAUCUUCCACAAUGGGCGAAAGCCUGAUGGAGCAACGCCGCGUGGGUGAAGAAGGUCUUCGGAUCGUAAAACCCUGUUGUUAGGGAAGAAAGUGCGUGAGAGUAACUGUUCACGUUUCGACGGUAUCUAACCAGAAAGCCACGGCUAACUACGUG